Molecule: non-coding RNA, 73 nt
Organism: Notolabrus celidotus (New Zealand spotty)
Lineage: Eukaryota; Metazoa; Chordata; Actinopteri; Labriformes; Labridae
Source: the annotation of a RefSeq genome assembly
CCUUCGAUAGCUCAGUUGGUAGAGCGGAGGACUGUAGAUCCUUAGGUCGCUGGUUCAACUCCGGCUCGAAGGA